Carassius auratus (goldfish) is the source of this 337-nucleotide long non-coding RNA. RefSeq lists it as uncharacterized. The transcript is spliced from 3 exons. The record is from RefSeq and is a predicted model, not a curated record. NCBI's taxonomy places the organism in Eukaryota, Metazoa, Chordata, Actinopteri, Cypriniformes, Cyprinidae.
AUCACUGCAGAUUAGCGUCAGGCAAAUGAGGAGUUUGGAAACAUUUAUCAUUGAGCAAAUUGUCUGGGAGUCAUUGAGCAAGUGUCGCCAUGUUGCACAAACACAGAGGAUCUCUGGGCUCUGCUCCUCUCGAGAACAUAAUACAGCAUCUCUUGCAGCAGCAGCAGCAGCAGCGCUGGUUUGAGCAGCGAGACGGCUUCCUCUCUUCCCUCAGCAGAUUCCCUUUCUUCUGAGCAGCAGCACAGCGUGUCUCCGCUGCUCCUGGCUCUCUGCGUCCUGCUCAUCAUGAUCCUGUGGGUGAAGAUGGGAGAGGACUCUCUGGAAGAGCUCGUCAGAC